AGCAGCCGCGGUAAUUCCAGCUCCAAUAGCGUAUAUUAAAGUUGUUGCAGUUAAAAAGCUCGUAGUUGAAUUUCGGGACCAAUACGUCGGUCGUGCUUUCGGGUACGUACUGGCGUCAUUGGUUUCUCCUUUCUGACGAACCAUGAUGUCAUUAAUUUGGUGUUAUGGGGAGUUAGGACUGUUACUUUGAAAAAAUUAGAGUGUUUAAAGCAGGCUCGCGCUUGAAUACAUUAGCAUGGAAUAAUGAAAUAGGACGUUUGAUUCUAUUUUGUUGGUUUCUAGGAUCGACGUAAUGAUUAAUAGGGAUAGUUGGGGGGCAUUAGUAUUCAAUUGUCAGAGGUGAAAUUCUUGGAUUUAUUGAGGACUAACUACUGCGAAAGCAUUUGCCAAGGAUGUUUUCAUUAAUCAAGAACGAAAGUCAGGGGGAUCGAAGACGAUCAGAUACCGUCGUAGUCUUAACCAUAAACUAUGCCGACUAGGGAUCGGAUGAUGUUAAUUUUUUUAAUGACUCAUUCGGCGC
This 520-nucleotide ribosomal RNA is filed under the name uncultured Glomus. RNAcentral's name for it is "SSU rRNA". It matches the Rfam family "Eukaryotic small subunit ribosomal RNA", at positions 569 to 1086 of the family's 1831-position model. Lineage: Eukaryota; Fungi; Glomeromycota; Glomeromycetes; Glomerales; Glomeraceae. The record is from RNAcentral.